CUGCCACAUUCUGCAUCCUAAACCUUAUCAGAAGAUAAUCCAUCUCCUGACUCCUCCCACCCAUCCCUAAUUGAUUCAGAGCCUGAGUAGGGAGGAGGCUUCCUGUUUGUUGAGUACAGUCUACGACUUGUUUCACGUACGCAUUCAGGGACACUUCAUCUCCACAAGGCCUCUCAUGACCCUGCUCCUCCAGUCUGCCCCGAGUCCUUCGCGCUGCAUCGGAUGACGGAUCGCAUAGAAGCUCUUACCCUGGGCGCCCCUGCUGGAACAGCUGGUCGCCUUGGGGAUCCACAGAGAUCCCCAAGGAGCAGGCUGAGGGAAGUCACAAAAAUGACAAAAGGCAAGGAAGCUAGAUUUACAACAGCAGCCUCACCCUGAGCUGGAUCAUGGUCACAUCUGCCCUCACCCCUCCCCAUCUCACUUGUGACCUUCUAUGCCCAC
RNAcentral lists this long non-coding RNA (441 nucleotides) under Equus asinus (donkey). Its description in RNAcentral is "lncRNA (ENSEASG00005035283.1)". Lineage: Eukaryota; Metazoa; Chordata; Mammalia; Perissodactyla; Equidae. The record is from RNAcentral.